GACGAACGCUGGCGGCGUGGAUUAGGCAUGCAAGUCGAACGGUAGGAUCCUUUCGGGGAUCUGAGAGUGGCGAACGGGUGAGUAACACGUAGGUGAUCUACCCUCAAGACGGGGACAACCCAGGGAAACUUGGGCUAAUACCGGAUGUGAGCUAUCGCGAGAUAGUUUGAAAGGUGGCUUCGGCUGCCGCUUGAGGAUGAGCCUGCGUCCUAUUAGCUAGUUGGUGAGGUAACGGCUCACCGAGGCAGUGAUAGGUAGGCGGCCUUAACGGGUGGUCGCCCACACUGGGAUUGAGAUACGGCCCAGACUCCUACGGGAGGCAGCAGUCGAGAAUAGUCUACAAUGGUCGAAAGACUGAUAGUGCGACGCCGCGUGAACGAAGAAGCCCUUCGGGGUGUAAAGUUCUUUUAUAUGUGAGCAGUGACACCCAUAUUAAUAGUAUGGGUGUAGAGAUAUUAGCAUAUGAAUAAGCAACGGCUAACUCCGUGCC
RNAcentral lists this ribosomal RNA (490 nucleotides) under uncultured bacterium. RNAcentral's name for it is "bacterial SSU rRNA". It matches the Rfam family "Bacterial small subunit ribosomal RNA", at positions 28 to 509 of the family's 1533-position model. The record is from RNAcentral.